ACACUGAGUACAUAUGUGUACACUCUGAGGGACACUGGGCAGAGGCCAGGCUGGAGGGGGCGCUCAGAGUGUCCUGAGAACUACCCAGAGAGCGGGGAUUAACGUGGAAGCAGCGGAGCUUCUGAGGGAACCUUGUUCUUGUGGCUGCCCACAGGACAGCUUUGAAAUGGCAGCAAAGGGGUAGGAAGGAGGCUGUCCCCACCUGUCCUCACCUGUUCUUGUUUCUCCCUGCUGCUUUGCAGAAAGGGUUUGAUGUGUUCAAUGCACUGGAUCUCAUGGAGAACAAAACCUUCCUGGAGAAGCUCAAGUUUGGCAUAGGGGACGGCAACCUGCAGUAUUACCUUUACAAUUGGAAAUGCCCCAGCAUGGGGGCAGAGAAGGUUGGACUGGUGCUACAAUAACCAGUCACCAGUGCGAUUCUGGAUAAAGCCACUGAAAAUUCGAACCAGGAAAUGGAACCCCACCACUGUUGGUCCAAUUUUCACACACGUGAGAACCCCUGGCAAAGGGAGCAGAACUGAACCGGCUUUACCAAACCGCCAGCGAACUUGACAAUUGUAUUGCGAUGGCGUGGGCUGCGUGACGUCACCUCCGGUCGUGUCUCUGGUCUCCGUGUUUUCCAGUUAAUUACAUCCUCAUGCAGCCGUGAUCAAGGGAAUGUAACUGCUGAAAACUAGCUCGUGAUUGGCAUAUAAUGGAGUUAACGGGUGAAUAAUAAAAGUAUAUAUAUAUAUUAUAUAUAUAUAAA
This 748-nucleotide small RNA is filed under the name Pongo abelii (Sumatran orangutan). RNAcentral describes it as "retained intron". The record is from RNAcentral. Lineage: Eukaryota; Metazoa; Chordata; Mammalia; Primates; Hominidae.